CGCCCUCGCGGCGUCGCGCAGCAUCCCGCAGAGCGCCGAGCCCGCGCCUAGGGCCUGCGGCUGCGGCGAUGAAGAUCUGGAGCUCGGAGCACGUGUUCGGCCAUCCCUGGGACACGGUGAUCAAGGCUGCCAUGCGGAAGUACCCAAACCCGAUGAACCCGUGCGUGGUGGGCGUGGACGUGCUGGAGCGCAGCGUGGACGGCUUUGGGCGCCUGCACAGUCUGCGCCUGCUCAGUACUGAGUGGGGGCUGCCCAGCCUCGUGCGAGCGAUUUUGGGAGCCAACAGGACCUUGACAUACAUCAAAGAGCGCUCUGUCGUGGAUCCGGCUGCAAGGACGAUGGAGCUGUGUUCCACCAAUAUCACGCUCACAAAUCUGGUGUCUGUGAAUGAGAGGUUGGUGUACACACCUCAUCCAGAGAAUCCUGAAAAGACUGUGCUCACCCAGGAAGCCAUCAUCACCGUGAAGGGGAUUAGUCUCGGGAGCUACCUGGAAAGUCUAAUGGCCAGCACGAUAUCCUCCAAUGCAAAGAAGGGCUGGGCUGCCAUCGAGUGGAUAAUUGAACAUUCCGAGAGCGCCAUAAGCUAACAGGUCUGCACCCAUGCCUGGUGACACACGGGGGCAACCACCGUAACUUCCUAACCUGAGCUAAGCUGUCUCCACCUUCAGUCAGAUAUUGCACCAAAAAGAGUCAAGGAGAAAAGAAGGAAGGAAGAAUGGCUGGACAAGGAAGAGGAAAGGCAAGUGCGGACGGAAGUGGUUCCGGUCAAGACUGCAAGAGCUGGGACUGCCGGAAUCUUCCCUGUCCGUGGUAUCCCAGUCCAGCAUCGGCCCCGGCACGAGCAGUGCGAGGCUGUGGUUCCUGGGAGUGGUCGGGAGCCCUGCUCUGGCAGCUUCUGCAGUAGGUACCACGCCGCCACAGCACUGGGCUGGGACAGGACUGGGCUGCACUGCCCCUGCGCUGGUCUUAAGCUUUUGCCUGCUUCCCCUGGCAGGAGCGCCACCUCCGCCUGCUGACUUCAGUCACUUCACCAAAGGAGAGCUCCCCUCUCCUCAUGCCCUGCCAGCUAAGCCAGGGUAGGUUCCCCCAAACCUUCCCCAGGGAUCUGGCUGCUGUGUUCCUGGUGGCCGCAUGACCUUAUAGUGUUCCACUCGCCUUUGUGAAGAAGGUGGACAAGAAGUUGCUUUCUGACCCUCAGGGUCCCCAUCAUGUACCAUAUCCAAAAUAAUGGUGUGGAACGCUCUUCAGAGGCCACUAUAGGGUCCAGCCGUGACUGGGAUUUUCAAGAUCAGACUGGCUGUGGAACUGAAGAUGACCUUGAACUCCUGAUCUCCCCAAGUGCUGGGAUUACAGACUUGGGCUGCUAUACUUGGCUCUUUUUGGUUGUUGUUGAGACAGAUCUUGGAACCCGGGUUUUCCUGAAACUCCUGCCUCAGCAUCUCAAGUGCUGGAAUCCCAGGUGUGCACCACCAUGCCCCAACUGGGGUCCUUGUCAGGUCCCUGCCAUCUUUUCAGCUUCUACCGGCUAACAGGAGAGGUUGGGGACCUGCUGCUAUGUAAGAAAGAGCCUACUUCUCUCCUCUACCUCCCAUGGUCCUGCUGGCUCUGAGUGGUGGCUGUGUGCUCCUGGCCUAGGUUGAAACCCUUCCCCCAAGCUCACUUUUCCUUCCUGGCUUAGAGUUUCUUGUAGUCGUUUUCUUUUUCUCUGUGUAGCCCUUGCUGUAGACCAGGCUGGCCUCGAACUCACAGAGAUCCGCCAGGCCUCUCCUUGUAGUAGUAUAAGUAACUCAAUCUGGCCUUCAAUUCACCGUGGAUGUGAGGCUGACUUUGAACCCCUUCCACCUUUCAAGGACCAGAAUUACAGGUGAGCAUCAUCAUGCCUGGCUUCCUACCAUCAUCAAACCAAGGUUUAAAACACUAAAGAUGUGUAUAGAGACGUGUAUAUAUGUAUAGGCAAUUCCUGCUUGCAGUUUAAAAAAGAGGUAUUGAAUCUGCUGACUGGUAUAGACCUCUGCUCUCCCUGUCAGUCAAAUCACAAUUUUUACAGACCUAGAAUUUUUCUAUGCCUAUGAAAGUUUGUCUUCUUUCAUUAAACUUGGGUUUAUA
RNA transcript from Alexandromys fortis (reed vole), 2106 nucleotides. It is a transcript of the gene named PRELI domain containing 3A, with no coding region annotated. The record is from RefSeq and is a predicted model, not a curated record. The transcript has 7 exons. NCBI's taxonomy places the organism in Eukaryota, Metazoa, Chordata, Mammalia, Rodentia, Cricetidae.